RNAcentral lists this ribosomal RNA (300 nucleotides) under Triticum aestivum (bread wheat). Its description in RNAcentral is "partial small subunit ribosomal RNA". Lineage: Eukaryota; Viridiplantae; Streptophyta; Magnoliopsida; Poales; Poaceae. The record is from RNAcentral.
AUGAGUCAUCUGACUCGCACUAUGGCUGAUGAAGCAAGAAAGAGUGCCACGGGCGGGAACCAGAGGACUUGCGAGAAGGGAGUACAACCAUUUUUGCAAUAUAUAGUUGAGAGAAUUCGAGCCUGCUACUAUAGCUGGAGACUGUUACUAUUGUCAAUUAUAAAAAUUAUGUUCUUCUAUGAUUUAGUGAAGUCGGGAGGAAAGUGGUGUGCAAAGGCAGAAGCUUUUGUAGCUGUGGUGUUCUUAAUAAUGGCACGGAAGGCCAAAAAACAUAGAUUUGGACAGGUUUUAUCUGUGUAA